UACGUAGGGUGCGAGCGUUGUCCGGAAUUACUGGGCGUAAAGAGCUCGUAGGCGGUUUGUCGCGUCGUCCGUGAAAACUUGGGGCUCAACCCCAAGCUUGCGGUCGAUACGGGCAGGCUCGAGUUCGGUAGGGGAGACUGGAAUUCCUGGUGUAGCGGUGAAAUGCGCAGAUAUCAGGAGGAACACCGGUGGCGAAGGCGGGUCUCUGGGCCGAUACUGACGCUGAGGAGCGAAAGCGUGGGGAGCGAACAGG
This 253-nucleotide ribosomal RNA is filed under the name uncultured bacterium. RNAcentral describes it as "partial 16S ribosomal RNA". It matches the Rfam family "Bacterial small subunit ribosomal RNA", at positions 524 to 776 of the family's 1533-position model. The record is from RNAcentral.